CACAAAAAUACAAAAUUGACAGCAUGGUAAAUUUUACACAAAAAAGCGUCAAAAUAUGAUAAAACUUUCUUAUAUUAACACCUACCUAUAGUUUUUGUAAGUAAAAGUUAUUCAGAUUGGUCCACUUCAUCUUUAUAGAAAGUAUGAGAAAAAGUUUAAUUGUGGAACUGUGAUUUUUUUCAUGAUAAUAGCCCAAAAAUAGGUAAAAAUCGAUGAAAAAUGGGAAAAAUCAUCAAAAUUGGGCAUUUUCAAAGGGCUGUAGCAAAAAAAGAAGUGCACCACCAUAUGAUUUUUUCUUCACCAAUUAUUUUGUUAGAGUCUUAUAAACCCAAAAAUCAGGUUAAGAAAAAAAGUUUAAUUCUAGAAAUUUUU
This 372-nucleotide long non-coding RNA is filed under the name Mytilus galloprovincialis (Mediterranean mussel). Lineage: Eukaryota; Metazoa; Mollusca; Bivalvia; Mytilida; Mytilidae. The record is from RNAcentral.